GGCAGAAAAUGUGUCUGAUUUAGAAUCUUUAUAUAUAAGUAAAUACUUUUAUUUAG
RNAcentral lists this transfer RNA (56 nucleotides) under Bourletiella arvalis. Its description in RNAcentral is "tRNA-Leu". The record is from RNAcentral. Lineage: Eukaryota; Metazoa; Arthropoda; Collembola; Symphypleona; Bourletiellidae.